Molecule: long non-coding RNA, 3205 nt
Filed under: Ananas comosus (pineapple)
Lineage: Eukaryota; Viridiplantae; Streptophyta; Magnoliopsida; Poales; Bromeliaceae
Description: long non-coding RNA (ACOM_LNC009621)
Source: RNAcentral
AAAGUGCAUAUGAUAAUAAUGAGAUUGGACUUAAUAAAAUAUAGGAAAAACUUCGAAAAUCUCCCUGUAGUUUCAUAUUUUUUUAUUUUAAUACCCUGUGAUUUAAAGUGUAUCAAAUUAGUACCAUGUGGUUUCGUACUUUCUCACUUUAGUAUCCUGUGAUUUAAAGUGUAUCAAGUUAGUAUUCUAUGGCUUUAUUUUUGUAUCAAGUUAAUAUCCUAUGGUUUUAUUUUUGUAUCGAGUUAGUAUCCUGCGAUUUUAUUUUUCUCUUAAUGAAAGAUUAAACCACAGGGUACUAAAGUGAGAAAGUUUGAAACCACAGGAUACUAUAACUUGAUACACUUUAAACCACAGGGUACUAAAGUGAGAAAGUGCGAAACCACAAGGUACUAACUUGAUACACUUUAAAUCACAUGGCACUAAAGUAAGAAAGAGUGAAACUACAAGGGGGUAUUUGAAGUUUUUUCUAAAAUAUAUGUGAAUAUAGGAAAAAAGGUUAGAUAAGAAUCUAAUUGCAAAAAAUCGACCUAUUAAAUAAUUAAAAUUUUUAUUAUUAUUUGAAAGUAAUCUUAAUUUAUGGGUAAAAAAAAAAAAACUCUAAUUCAUUCUAAAAGAAGUAUGUUUAAGUUUUAAUAUUUAAUAAUUUUUUAAAAAAGUUUAGUGUGGUAGAACGUGAGUUCGAUACUCUCUAAAGAAAAAAAUCGAGAGAAUGUGAAGUGAAGGUUUAAAAUAAUUAAAAUUAUAUUAUAUUUUUGACUUACAACAAAGUAAAUAUCAGAAAUGAUGGAACUUGAGUUUCACCCUUUCAUUUACACCAAACCAAACAAUUCCUUAGGGGCCUAUUUAUUUCACCGUAAAUUAUAGAAGGAAAAAAUAAUUUUUUAUCGUAAAUAUUUAUAUUUGUUGUUUGAUUUAUUUAUAUUUGUUGUUUGAUUCAUCAGUCAAAACUCAAACUCUUAAAAAUAUUUUGGAAAAACUUCAAAUACCCCCCUUAUGGUUUCACUCUUUCUUACUUUAGUACCCCGUGGUUUAAAGUGUAUCAAGUAGUACCAUGUGGUUUUACACUUUUUUCACUUUAGUACUCCGUUGUUUAAAAUGUAUCAAGUUUGUACUAUGUGGUUUCGCACUUUUUCACUUUAGUAUCCUACGGUUUCGCACUUUCUCACUUUAGUAUCCUAUGAUUUUUAAAUCACAGGGUACUAACUUUAUACAAAAAUAAAAUCACAGAGUACUAACUUGAUACACUUUAAACCACAGGAUACUAAAGUGGGAAAGUGCGAAAUCAUAAGGUACUAACUUGAUACACUUUAAAUUAUAGAGUACUAAAAUAAAAAGUACGAAACCACAGGGGGAUUUUUGAAGUUUUUUCAAAUAUUUUUGUUUAUUUAGAUCCAUUCCAUAUCAAUUACCAAAAAAAAAAAAAAGAAAAAAAAAAAUAGAGUGAAAGUAUUAUGUUUUGACCCUAAACUUUCUUUUUGCAAUCUAGGUCAAACACCCCCAUAGAUAUCCAAAAUUCACCACUUCCAAUAUANGGAGGUGUGUAUUGUUUUUUUGAGAGAUAGAUAGCACGUUAUCUGCUUCGUUUAUUUCAUUUAGAAAUAAAUUUAACUAGAAUGUGAAUCAACUAGGAUUCGAACUUGGGUCUCGGAUACCAACCACCAAACCCUUUGUCACUUGCUCUAGGGAUGGUCGGUGGAGGUAUGUAUUGUUAAUCCAAUCCUUUAACGGGUUAAAGGGUUGGAAUAACGGGUUAAACAACUCUUUUAAAGGGUGGAAUUAACAAUCCUCAUCCUCCUGAAAUAGGGGUUGAAAUAGCUUCCCACUCUUAUUUAAUUUUUAAAUUUAAAUUUUUAAAACUUAAAAUUUAUAAUUUUAAAUUUUAAAUUCUAAAUUUUAAAUUAAUAUUUUAAGUUUUUUAAAUUUAAAAUUUGAUACUUUAGAUUUAAUCUUAAAUUUAAAAUUUAAAAUUUAUUUGAGAUUUUAAAUUUUAAAUUUAAAUUUAAAUUUUAAAUUUUUAAAAUUUAAAAGUUAAGUAUUUAAAUUUAAAAAUUUAAAUUCGAAUACAACAUAGGACAAUAUUAUUAUUUUUUAUUUAUAACUACCCACUAUUCUUUUUUUUUUUAUUUUCGAAAACAAUUCAAUUUUUAUUCAAACAAAAAAUUGAUUUAUUUCAGACUUAUAUUUGAACUUACAUCUAUUCCUGAAAUAGAUAAUUCUUAUUUAUACCCGAACUAAACGAAGUCAGGGAUGCAAAUGGACCCGGGUUGGUGGAGCUCCUGUCCCAAUUCGGCUGAAUAGGACGGUAGGUGUGAACAAAAAUAAUAGAAAAAUAAUUCACUCUGAAUUUGUCUCUAUUCGUAAAAAAAUUGUCAAAAAUUUGUGUUCUUUUUUUGAUCCGCCUGAAAUAAAAUGAUAAAUAAGAAUAAAUAAUAAAAUAAAAAAUAAUUCAUUCCGAAUACGUCCAGUCCCACAAAAAAUGGAUCCGGCCGUUUACAUCCGUCCAGGGUCGUUCCGCCGCCGUCCGUGACCACGAUUGCCUGGAUCCGACGUGUAAUUCCAACCCUCCCCCCAACCCCCACACUUGUGAAAUUACCAAAUUACCCCUUGAUCUUCCCCCGCGACCCAAUCCCCGUCGAAUCCUUCCUGCAGAGGAGAAAACAACAAUAAAGACGACAAUAACAACAACAAUCCCCAAUCAAGUGAGAGAGAGAGAGAAAGUAGGAAGAGAAGAGAGAGAGAGAGAGAAAGAGAGGGAUCAUGAGGAGCUUCACUAUAAUAGCUCCUCGCCUCUCCUCUCUCCUCUCUAUAUAUACCCCCUCCCCUCCGCAUCCUCCUCAGCUCUCCUUUCUAUCCUCCUCUCUCAGGUAUAUGACGGUUCUUCCUGCAGUUAGUUUGUUUUUCAAUAUAUUUUUUAAUAAAAAAAAUUCAAAUAUCAUCUGUUUAGUUUCGUAUUCUUCUAUUUUAAUAUCUUAUAAUUUAAAAUAUAUCACUUUUAAUUUAUUUUUAUUUUAAAAAUAAAAAAUAUUAAAGUGAAUAUUCGAUGAUAAACUAUAAAUAGAGUAUCUGAAGUUUUUUUUGUAUAUAAUUUAACGAAAAGGUAACGGAGAGAUCGACGAAAAGAAAAAAAUAAAAUACCAUCGAGUACUAAAGUGAAAAAUUGCGAAACUGUAGGGAUUGAUAUUGGAAGUUUACCUUAUUAAUGAAA